Saccostrea cuccullata (small rock oyster) is the source of this 512-nucleotide long non-coding RNA. RefSeq lists it as uncharacterized. The record is from RefSeq and is a predicted model, not a curated record. The transcript has 3 exons. NCBI's taxonomy places the organism in Eukaryota, Metazoa, Mollusca, Bivalvia, Ostreida, Ostreidae.
AUACUCCUCCCUACACCGUAUAUAAGGACCUGUGUUUACGCUUUAGUAUGUAGAGCAUCCUCCAAAUUCUUCCCAAGGCAUUAAUAAUCCGAGCACAGCAGAAUGAAUUCCAAACAGCUUUUGGUUUUAGUUUUGGUGGCUUCUGUCCUGACUGCUUCCUGUGACGCCCAGCUCUUUGGUCGAAUUGGUGGUCGGCGUAGGGGCAGGAGAGGAGGAGGUUUACUCGCAGGGAUUGGCCUUGGACUCCUUGGGGCAGGUCUUCUGGGAGGAUUUAACAGGCCUUACUACGGAGGGUUUGGCGGCUACCCUUACGGAGGAUUCGGGUAUCCUUAUGGAGGUUUUGGCUACCCAUAUGGGGGAUAUGGCUUCCGUGGUGGAUAUCUACCUAUUUUUUAGAUAUAGGUUCGACUUCUCUGUUGUGUUUGUGGAUCUCGUGCCUAGGAAAUUCAAGAAUGCAAUGUGUACAGAUAGAUGUUUUUGGAUAAAUUUAAUAAAAGAAUUAAAAAACAUAA